GGACCCGACUGCUAUCAAAGUGGGACUAAGCCAUGCGAGUCAACAUAGCAAUAUGUGGCAUACGGCUCAGUAACACGUAGUCAACAUGCCCAGGGGACGUGGAUAACCUCGGGAAACUGAGGAUAAACCGCGAUAGGUCAUCACUUCUGGAAUGGGUAAUGACUUAAACCUAUAUGGCCCCUGGAUUGGACUGCGGCCGAUCAGGCUGUUGGUGAGGUAAUGGCCCACCAAACCUGUAACCGGUACGGGCUCUGAAAGGAGGAGCCCGGAGAUGGGCACUGAGACAAGGGCCCAGGCCCUAUGGGGCGCAGCAGGCGCGAAACCUCUGCAAUAGGCGAAAGCUUGACAGGGUUACUCUGAGUGAUUUCCGUUAAGGAGAUCUUUUGGCACCUCUAAAAAUGGUGCAAAAUAAGGGGUGGGCAAGUCUGGUGU
This 432-nucleotide ribosomal RNA is filed under the name uncultured archaeon. RNAcentral's name for it is "bacterial SSU rRNA". It matches the Rfam family "Archaeal small subunit ribosomal RNA", at positions 19 to 458 of the family's 1478-position model. The record is from RNAcentral.